GUGAUCGGAGCCUGGCCGCGGCGUGAUCGGGCAGGGCGGGACGCGGCACGUGUUUUGGUCGGAGCGAGGGGCGGGGCCUGAGGCCCUGGAAAGAAUGCGUCCUUGACCGGAGAGGUCGGAAAGCUGGCCGGUUCUAGGCCCCGAGAAAACGCCGCCCCCUCCGGGAAGUCCUCGAGCCUGCAGGAGACAUCUAGCCCGCUGUCCAGGGCACCUUUUUUUUUCUCCCUAUAUUUCGGUUGCUCGCGUCUCUUGGUGUGGUUUGCCCACGUCUGCAGCGCCAGGUUCGUGGAGAGCAGGAACCAUGCUGUUUAUUUUCGUCGCCGCAGCCUUCAGCUCAGCGAGGAGCCACCCCUCCUCCGUCUGUUCACUGCGCGCGCCUUUGCUGAGCUGUGAUGCGGGUUGGCGCUCAGUGCAAGGGGCAGAGGCCGCAGUGAGGAAUCCUCCUUUUUUAAAAGCUCCAUCCAGGGAGCGGGAGCAGAGAGAGAAUCCCGGCACCCCGGGGCUUUGCUCUGAGCGAGAGAAUUCUGGUCUUAGGGGAACGGGCUGGGCCCCACCACUCACAUGAGCAGGACUCUGGUCCCCACUUGUUCCUUCGGGGCCCACUCGGGUUGGGCAGAGGGGUUGACCAGGCUGAGGAGAGGGUGUUUGCUGAAAUAGUAAGAGGGUUUAAGACGAAAGAACCGUGAUAAACUGCUCGCAUGAAGACCCCGGAGGCUCUGAGAGGGGCGCAGGGUGUUCUGUGUGUAAAAAGUUAAGUCUUAAGAUACACACUGGAAUAUUCUCUUUUGCCUGGACUCCUGCAUUCGCCUUAUAACUGGUCUCCCUGCGUCCACUCCAGCUCCCAGAGCCUCUUCCCACUCAGCACCCCCAGGGGUCUUUAACCCUUUCAGUGGCUCCCACUGUACUCAGCGUAACGCUUCUGCUCCCCACUGUGGCUUGUGAGCUCCUGCAGGGACCCAGCCCCAUGCCUCUCCCCACGCCCCGGAGGGACAGCCUGGGCCUCCUCUUGGGCGCCUGUCCCACCAGCCCCUCUGCCGUCUCCAGGUCCUCGCACUUGCUGUUCCCUAGAAUGCUUUUCCCCCACAUGCCCCCUUUACUCUCACCCGCAGUCCACCUGGAGAGGCCCCCUCUAGCGGACACACCCUCGGGGCCGACCUCCAGUCCCCUUCUGGCGGGCUUUCUUGUUUUCUUCCUCCACAACACUUUUCUUGAACUGCCCCUUUUCCAUUACUUCAGUUAUUUAUCAUCUGUCUCCCCACCAGAAGGACUCUCCCAAGGCCAGGGAGCCUGGCUGUUUAAUAAGUCCACGUAGGUGAACGAGCGAAUCGAAGGUAUCCACCAGCCUCCCUGCUUGAACAUCCCGUGAGCACCUCUAAUUGUGUCCUUAAAAAAACUGAACUCAGGGCCGGGCGCGGUGGCUCACGCCUGUAAUCCCAGCACUUUGGGAGGCCGAGGCGGGCGGAUCACCUGAGGUCAGGAGUUGAAGACCAGCCCGGCCAACAUGAUGAAACCCCGUCUCUUCUAAAAAUACAAAAAUUAGCCUGGCACGGUGGCAGGCGCCUGUAAUCCCAGCUACUCAGGAGACUAAGGCAGGAGAAUCGCUUGAACCCAGGAGGCAGAGAUUGCAGUGAGCCGAGAUCGCACCACUGCACUCCAGCCUGGGCGUCAGAGACUCAGUCUCAAAAAAACAAACAAAAAACUGAACUCGGAUUCCAGCCAAAUCUGGAUUUCUCACCUCCGUGAAGGGUACAACUGGAGACCCUGUUCCUUGAUCUAGAAACCUGAGCGUCACCUUUACCUCCUCCCUUUCGCACAGUUGCUGUCUUCCGCCAAUUACAUGCCCUUCUUCCUUCUCAGUUCCUCUCAAACUCUUAUGUCACCCACGCCAGCCCUUGUCCUGGCCACCACCUGCUCACCUGAAUUGUUGCCACUGCCUCCCAACAGGUCUCCCUCCCUCCAGCCAGACGCCCUACAAUCUGCCCUCACCUCACUGCCAGAAUGAUCUUCUGGAAGCAGAGGUGGAGCUGAACCUGUAUUCAAGCCGUCAGUUGGAAUCCAAACAGUUAUAGGACUGACUUCAGGCUCCAUGGCCAGGAACCCAUGAGUCUUUGUAGCCAGGCUCCAGCCAGCACUUCCUGCAUCAUUUCUGACCAGUUUCCCAAAUUGCUUUCCCUGCUGCCUUCCUGCCCCCACUGACCCAAUACAGAACCCUGUACUCUCAAGGUCACGCCACUCUCUUCUGUUUCUAGACAGCAUUCCUUCUGCGUGGAACAUGCCAACCCUCGUCUGCUUUGACUUUGCAAAACUGCAUGAGACCGCCGGGCGCGGUGGCUCACGCCUGUAAUCCCAGCACUUCAAGAGGCCGAGGCAGACAGAUCACCUGAGGUCAGGAGUUUGAGGCCAGCCUGGCCAGCAUGGUGAAACCCCGUCUCUACUAAAAAUACAAAAAAUCAGCCAGUAAUCCUAGCUACUCGGGAGGCUGAGGCAGGAGAAUCGCUUGAACCCAGGAAGCAGAGGUUGCAGUGAGCCGAGGUCAUGCCAUUGCACUCCAGCCUGGGCUACAAGAGUGAAACUCCGUCUCAAAAAAGAAAAAAAAAAAGAAAAAAAGACUGCAUAUGACUCCCCAGUGAAGCCCUCCCUGAUUGGCCUCUGCAGAAGGCAGCAUGCCCGGGCUUUGGAGUCAGACCUGCAUACAAAUCCUUGUUUUGCCGGUGUGACCUUGCCAAGUCUUCUUUCCUGCAGGACAGAAGGCGGCAGCAGCUCUCCCUGAACUGGCACUCUGGCUUCUCUUGCCCCAGGGUCUGUUUCUGCUCCUUGGACAGCAGGCGCAUGUGGGAACUGUGCCCUCUUCAGCCAUGAGCCCCUGUUCUGCGCACAUCUAGCCCAUCUUCCAGAUGGACAGACAGUCUGUGGUCGUCGCCAAACCCCUGAAUCUGGCCCUGCCCGCAGUCAGAGGGAUGGCAAUUUGUAAGCUACAGACUAUUGCGAAUCAUUCACUUGGAGACUGAACUAAGACUACUGGCACCAGGCUCCGUAGACCCUCGGGAAGAGCAUGGUCUGGCAGGCAGACUGGAUGUGGCCACAGAUAACAUCCCCUAAGGGGAGAGCGUGAGCCUGCAGGCCAGAAUGCCACCACUUUCUCCUGUGUCGUUCCAGAGAGAGCCUGUGGCUAUGCACGCUUGCUGCUACAGAGGGUAGUGCUGUAUACCUCCUGGGCUCACUUACUGACUUUUCAGUCUAAGGGCUUAUUGCAAUUGGUACAUAACGAUCAUACUUUGUAAUGGUUAAGUAAUAUUCCAUCAUAUGGAUGUGUUGUUUAUUUAACAUUCUGGUUGAAUAACCAAGACUUUUAGGUUUCCAGUUUUCCAGGAACAUCAUGCCCCUCCAUCAUUUGCCCACCUGGAAGGAUAACUACAGGAUAAGCAGCUCUUAGAACUGGAAUUGCUGAGUUAACUGCUCUGUGCAUUUCCUUGCUUUUUCUUGCUUUUCUUUUCUUUCUUUUAUUAUUUUUUUGGGUAAAUUUUUAUUGAACUAUAGCAUAGCGUAGAUACAGGAAAGUGUAAAAACUUAAAUGUACAAUUCAAUGAAUUUUCGCUAGGCAAACACUGUGUCACCAGCACCCAGAUUUAGAAACAGAAUAUUACCAGAAUCCCAAAAGCCCCAUGAGCUGCCGUCCAGUCACUACUUACCGUUUCCCUGAUCCCCUGCAUAGGAUAAUCCUUAUCAUGGCUUCUGACACUUUCGGUUGGUUUUGGAUGUACUGACACUUUUUGUGUGUGUGUGACACUUUUAUAAUACAAAGAAAAUCAUACAGUAUGUUCAGUUUGGGGUCUGGCUUCUUUCACUCAGUGUGUUGUUGUGGGCAGUUGGAGUUUGUUUAUUCUCAUUCUUCUGUUCUCUUUCUCUUUGGUUGAGUUUACUGGGCUGGAAGCAGUACAAGGACCAGAAUAUGCUGUGAGCUGACCAGCCACUGGGCUGGCUGGCUGGUUGACAAAUGAUCUAACAAAUGGUUGACAAAAUGGAUGGAUGAAUGAAUCACAGACCCACUAAUCCACUGACCUGUUCAAUGCCUGACUGGAAAUUGAGUGUCCAUUCCUCCCAACACCCCAGGGCCCCUGUCUCCCUUUGCUAGGGGCACUCAUGAUGGUGAGCAGAGAGGUCUGUAGGUGUAGCUGAGGCACAGAUCAUCCAGGUCAACCUGCGUAUUUUAGAUGGGGAAACUCAGGCCUAGCAACUUCACACAAAGCCACUUUGCUCAGGGGAAAAAUCAUCAUGACGCUGUGUCUGAUGUGGUUGAGGUACGAAGGAGGACCAGGUCAGAAGACGUUUAUUAAAUACCAAAAGUAGGCCAAGUGUCAUGCUAGGGGCUAGCUCUUCAUGCCUUUUGAUUCCCUGAUUUCAGCCCCAUUUAUAGAUGAAGUCACUGAGGGACGAGAGGUGAAGCCACUUGCCCGUCAUUGUCGGCCAGUGAGUGGAGGGCCCGGGAUCCAUCCCUCCAGCUCGGGUCCAGUGCUGCUUUGUCCCAGCUGCCUGCCCCUGGAAAAGAGGCUGCUAAGAGCACGUGCUGAGUCCUUGUAAGCUGGCCCAGAGUCGGGGGCUGUGGGCAGCUCCCACCAGGCACAAAAGGGGGUGCUCAGUCCCAUCACUCCAGGGAGGGUGAGGAGGCCAGUGCAGUUUGUUCCUGCUGUGGCUGCCAUACCCCUCCCCACACUGGACACACCUCCUGCCACGUGGUUCUGGCUGCCUCAGUGGCUGCACUCGGCCUUCUUUCUGUGUCUCCAGGCUGCGCUACAACCUCACUGUGUGAUACGUCUUCAAACCUCCCAAGAGGGAGAACCAGGUUGGCUUAGGCUUUUAGGCUCAGAGUAGGGGGGCCACAUGGCCCAAUCUGCAACUUUUGCCAAAGGAAAGCCCCAGAAUGGGGCUAUGGGUGUAGUGGGCCCUGAAAGCUUCUUUGAGGACAUGGGCACUUGGCAGGGGCCUUGCAGAGGCUGGGCUAGUACAGUCUAUGUUGGGGAAUGGGACCCCUUGGUGCUCAGGGCUGUGGGACCGUGGAGGAACAGGAGCCACCCUCGGCCCUUCCCAUCCCUACUGUUCAGCAGGAAACUGACUCACAAACAAUGGUACAUCCUAUAUACCAAGAGCCGUGCUGGCACAGGCGUCGGGGGAAGAGGUGGGACCCGAUUACUCGUGUCUGAGGAACUGGUGGGAGGGCUGGUCUGGGACAGUGCCCAAAGAAGACAUCAUUUGAGCUGGGUGUUAAGGACAGCUAGGAGGUAGCCACCCAGGAAACAGAGGUGCCCUUUUGGUACCAGCUUCAUACCUCGUCCGCCUUUGCAUUCUCCAGCUCUUGGCACAAGCCCCUCCUAUGCGGUGGGUGCCCAGUGAAUUGAAAUAAGCCUAGGAAGACGCUUAGGCCUUUGUCCAGGCCAGUGGUUCUCCAGCAUGAGCCCAGAAGGCGCGUUAAAACACGGAUUGCCGGGCCUACCCACUGGCUGCUGACUGAGCAGGUCUUCCUGGGGUCUGUGAAUCUGCAUGUCUUUUUUUUUUUUUUUUUGAGACGGAGUCUUGCUCUGUUACCCAAGCUGGAAUGCAAUGGCAUCAUCUCAGUUCACUGCAACCUCCACUGCCUGGACUCAAGCAAUUUUCUCGCCUCAGCCUCCCGAGUAGCUGAGAUUACAAAUGCCCACCACCAUGCCCGGCUAAUUUUUGUAUUUUUAGUAGAGACAGGAGUUCGCCGUGUUGGCCAGGCUGGUCUCGAACUCCUGACCUCAGGUGAUCUGCUGGCCUCGGCUUCCCUAAGUGCUGAGAUUACAGGCGUGAGCCACUGCUCCUGGCCAAAUAUGCAUGUCUAAUAAGUUCCCAGAUGUUGUUGACACCACUGGUCCAGGAAUCGCGGCAGUGAGAACCACUGAUUUAGUCCAAUCUCUGCAUCUUACAGAAAGGGAAAUGGAGACACAGAGAACAGAAGCAGCCUGUCCUAGUUACUCAAAGUGUGGGCAGAGGAAUGACUGGAUGCCCUGCCUCCAGACUCACGCUGAGUCCCACCCCGAACCACACUGCAGUGCCACCCUGCCACCUCUUGGACAGAGUGCCCCAGGAGCAGCCCCAGAAGAAAGCCUCAGGAGGCCAGCAUGUCUCUGGGCAACAGAACAAACCGCCGACUGGCCUGGGAGGGCAGGCUUCCAAGGGUCCUCGUGGCUACCCAGCCCAUCUGCUCAGCCAACUGCUUGCAUCUGGAACUCCAGUUUAAUCAUGAAAAAAACAUCUGACAAACCCAAAUGGAGGAACACCCACAAAAUGCCUCGUCACUGCUUUUCAAAAGGGCCAAGGUCAUGAAAACCGAGAAAGAACUGAGAAACCAUCUCACAUCGGAGGAGGCACGAUGGCUAAAUGCACCCCGGUCGCCCUGGACUGGAUCCGGAAAUAGUAAAAGUGCAUUAGUGGAAAACUGGUGAAAUCCACCGAAAGUCUGCAGUUGGUGAUAGUAUUGAAUCAAUGUUAAUCUCAUAGUUUUGACAAAUGCACCACGGUUACGUACGCGAGACGUUAACAUUAGGGGGAACUGCGUGGAGGGUACGUGGUACUGUGUACUAUUUUUGCAAUUUUUGUUUGUUUGUUUUUGAGAUGGAGUUUUGCUUUUGUUGCCCAGGCUGGAGUGCAAUGGCGCAAUCUUGGCUCACCACAAUCUCCGCCUCCCGGGUUCAAGCGAUUCUCCUGCCUCAGCCUCCCGAGUAGCUGGGAUUACAGGCAUGUGCCACCAUGCCCAGCUAAUUUUGUAUUUUUAGUAGAGACGGGGUUUCACCCUGUUGGUCAGGCUGGUCUUGAACUUCCAACCUCAGGUGAUCCGCCCACCUCAGCCUCCCAAAGUGCUGGGAUUACAGGCAUGAGCCGCCGAGUCUGGCCUGUUUGUUUUUUGAGACAGUCUCACUCUGUCACCCAGACUAGAGUGCAAUGGUGCAAUCUCAGCUCACUGCAGCCUCCACCUCCUGGGUUCAAGCGAUUCUCCUUGAGAAUCAGUGCCACCCGACUGGAACACAUCACCUGGCAGCCCAUUCUAGUACAGAGCAACAGCCCCCAUGUCCAGGAAGUCUCUCUUUACUUUUGCCAAAGUUGCCUGUGUUAUCUGCCCCAAGCCAUGCCCCAGAAGUCCUCAAGCUAGGGCUCAGGCCCGCCUUGCUAUCUCCCUUUCAGCACCUAGAUCAGCUCAUUGAGCACGUGGCACCUGCCAGGGAGUCACGCUGAAGCCCAUGCCCCCACAUCAAGGGUCUGUGAGAUGGCAGCCCCAGAGGCUGGCCCAGGGUUCGGGGAGAGGGCCUCUAAGCCCCUCUUCCUCAGGAAGUGCCCCUCACCUUGUCCUGCCCACAGGCAGCAGCAGUGUCGGCCCUGAUGGGCUCUGGCAUUGGGAAGGGGCAGCGGGAAACAGCUCCUCUGUGCAGCCUCCCCAGGGGCUACCCCACAGCCCCACUCCCCGCCUGUGUGCUGCACGCUGGUCACCUUGUUUGCUCUGGGAGCUCCUUUACCAGGGGCUUCCUGAGGCCUCCGGCCCUACUGGUACCUGGAGGCCCCAGCCUCUUGGCUCAGGAGGAGUCCUGGGCUGGGCGUGGUGACUUAACGCUUGUAAUCCCAGCACUUUGGGAGGCCAAGGCUGAAGGAUCAAUUGAGCCCAGGAGUUCAAGAGUAGUCUGGACAAUAUAACAAGACCCUGUCUCUACAAAAAAUUUAAAAAUCAUACAAUUUUUUAAAAAAGUAAAAAGGAGGAGGCCUGAGGGGCUACAGUGGCUGCAGGGUAGCAUGACCACUGGGGCUGCGGAAGCAUUUGCCCUGCGGGAGGAAGCGCUUUCGAGGGGGAAGGUGGCGUGUCUCUGACCCGGCAGCGAACAUGGGGCACCAGAGGGCAGCUUGACCCUGCUCCCAGGUGGAAUCUCUGAACCCUAGUUUCAUCUGCUCUCAGAGCCUGGCCUCCCCUGUCUAAGGCUGCCUGGGUUAGGAGCCUGGCACACACUGGGCUGCUAUACCAGUCUUUUACACACACAUUUACCAGGCACUUUCUCUUUUGCCAUCCCCUCAUGAUCACCCGGCAGGGAUCAUUAUCUGUAGGUGAGUGCAGGCUUAAGAGAGGCUGAGCGGCUUGGCCAGUCCCACAGGCAAUGGUGGCUGAGGCCUCCCCAGGACCCAGGUAUUCUGAGAGAGCCUCACACCGUGGGGCUGGAGGCCAGCAUCUGUCCCAGCCAUGCUAUCCACGCGCAUGCGGGGGGACGGGAAGAGCUCUGGGGCUGCACACAUCUGGGCUGCCAGCGUGUCUUCACCACUCUCUGGCUCUGCACCCCAGGAUUUUGGGGUCAGCACAUGGCGUAGUGGGUAGAGGGGUGCAUCCUGAAGGGUGGACCUCUAAUGCACCUGGCCAGACACCAAAAGGCAGCCGGGGGUGAGUCUCUGAGGAGUGGGCAGCGGGACCAGCACAGUGUGGAGAGGGCAGAGAGAGUGGGGAGGGCGGUGUGGGGCCAAGGGCAGGAGGUUCUGGGCGCAUGUCAGGCUGCUCCUGUCUCACCGAGUAUAAACAGCUCCUUAAAAAUGAACUCCAAAACCCAGCUCACUGGGCCAUUCAUGGCAGGCUAACCUUCGGGGGGUGCCCAGCAUGUCCCAGAGGGGCCUAGGAUGGGAGAGCCCUGUGGCCAGUCUGCAGCCGGUGCCUGCACAAACCUAGGCCUUGUGCUCCCUCUGGCACCUGGGUGAGGCCCCCUCGGGUGGAACACCUGCUAACUGCUCAUUAAAAUACAAGAGUGGGGGAGCUGGGCUUGGUGGCUCACGGCUGUAAUCCCAGCACUUUGGGA
Molecule: long non-coding RNA, 8834 nt
Filed under: Homo sapiens (human)
Lineage: Eukaryota; Metazoa; Chordata; Mammalia; Primates; Hominidae
Description: non-protein coding lnc-CYS1-1:7
Source: RNAcentral